GAUGAACGCUGGCGGCGUGCCUAAUACAUGCAAGUCGAGCGAACAGACGAGGCGCUUGCUCCUCUGACGUUAGCGGCGCACGGGUGAGUAACACGUGGAUACCCUCCCUAUAUGACUGGGAUAACUUCGGGACACCGGAGCUAAUACCGGAUAAUAUAUUGAACCGCAUGGUUCAAUAGUGAAAGACGGUUUUGCUGUCACUUCUAGAUGGAUCCGCGCCGCAUUAGCUAGUUGGUACGGUAACGGCUUACUAAGGCUACGAUGCGUAGCCGACCUGAGAGGGUGAGCGGCCACACUGGAACUGAGACACGGCCCAGAGUCCUACGGGAGGCAGCAGUAGGGAAUCGUCCGCAAUGGGCGAAAGCCUGACGGAGCAACGCCGCGUGAGUGAGGAAGGUCUUCGGAUCGUAAAACUCUGUUAUUAGGGAAGAACAAAUGUGUAAGUAACUAUGCACGUCUUGACGGUACCUGGUCAGAAAGCCACGGCUAACUACGUG
RNAcentral lists this ribosomal RNA (497 nucleotides) under uncultured bacterium. Its description in RNAcentral is "partial 16S ribosomal RNA". It matches the Rfam family "Bacterial small subunit ribosomal RNA", at positions 28 to 507 of the family's 1533-position model. The record is from RNAcentral.